GAUGAACGCUGGCGGCGUGCCUAAUACAUGCAAGUCGAGCGAACAGACGAGGAGCUUGCUCCUCUGACGUUAGCGGCGGACGGGUGAGUAACACGUGUAUAACCUACCUAUAAGACUGGGAUAACUUCGGGAAACCGGCGCUAAUACCGGAUAAUAUAUUGAACCGCAUGGUUCAAUAGUGAAAUACGGUUUUGCUGUCACUUAUCGAUGGAUCCGCGCCGCAUUAGCUAGUUGGUAAGGUCACGGCUUACCAAGGCGACGAUGCGUGGCCGACGGGAGAGGGGGAUCGGCCACACGGGAACUGAGACACGGUCCAGACUCCUACGGGAGGCAGCAGUAGGGAAUCUUCCGCAAUGGGCGAAAGCCUGACGGAGCAGCGCGGCGUGAGUGAUGAAGGUCUUCGGAUCGUAAAGCUCUGUUAUUAGGGAAGAACAAAUGUGUAAGUAACUAUGCACGUCUUGACGGUACCUAAUCAGAAAGCCACGGCUAACUACGUG
RNAcentral lists this ribosomal RNA (497 nucleotides) under uncultured bacterium. RNAcentral's name for it is "partial 16S ribosomal RNA". It matches the Rfam family "Bacterial small subunit ribosomal RNA", at positions 28 to 507 of the family's 1533-position model. The record is from RNAcentral.